RNAcentral lists this ribosomal RNA (365 nucleotides) under uncultured Glomus. RNAcentral's name for it is "SSU rRNA". It matches the Rfam family "Eukaryotic small subunit ribosomal RNA", at positions 569 to 942 of the family's 1831-position model. Lineage: Eukaryota; Fungi; Glomeromycota; Glomeromycetes; Glomerales; Glomeraceae. The record is from RNAcentral.
AGCAGCCGCGGUAAUUCCAGCUCCAAUAGCGUAUAUUAAAGUUGUUGCAGUUAAAAAGCUCGUAGUUGAACUUCGGGAUCAAUUAGUUGGUCAUGCCUUGGUAUGUACUGAUUUUAUUGGUUCUCACCUUCUAAAGACUAUAAUGUCAUUUAUUUGAUGUUAUAGGGAAUUAGGACUGUUACCUUGAAAAAUUGAGUGUUUAGAGCAGGCUCACGCUUGAAUACAUUAGCAUGGAAUAAUGAAAUAGGACAUCGCAUUCUAUUUUGUUGGUUUCUAGGAUCGAUGUAAUGAUUAAUAGGGAUAGUUGGGGCAUUAGUAUUCAAUUGUCAGAGGUGAAAUUCUUGGAUUUAUUGAACGACUAACUA